AAAUUGAAGAGUUUGAUCAUGGCUCAGAUUGAACGCUGGCGGCAGGCCUAACACAUGCAAGUCGAACGGUAACAGGAAGCAGCUUGCUGCUUUGCUGACGAGUGGCGGACGGGUGA
RNAcentral lists this ribosomal RNA (116 nucleotides) under Escherichia coli. Its description in RNAcentral is "partial 16S ribosomal RNA". It matches the Rfam family "Bacterial small subunit ribosomal RNA", at positions 1 to 109 of the family's 1533-position model. RNAcentral also lists the same sequence under 20 other names. Lineage: Bacteria; Pseudomonadati; Pseudomonadota; Gammaproteobacteria; Enterobacterales; Enterobacteriaceae. The record is from RNAcentral.